Polypterus senegalus (gray bichir) is the source of this 689-nucleotide long non-coding RNA. RefSeq lists it as uncharacterized. Lineage: Eukaryota; Metazoa; Chordata; Cladistia; Polypteriformes; Polypteridae. The transcript has 3 exons. The record is from RefSeq and is a predicted model, not a curated record.
UGCUGCGCUACUACGCCAUUGAUUCACAAGCUUCAUAAUGGAGCGACAAGUACAGUAAGUCACAGUGCAGUGACGGAACAUCGGCCUAGGGGAGGGGAAGAGAGGCUCCACGCAGAAGAUGAAAGCAGAGUGUUGUUGCAGGAAUACUACCCAAUAUGAACUGAUCAUGUUAUCCAGAGUACUUCCUGGUCGUGUGGAAACCAAGACAGCAUCCUAUGGCGGUACCCAAAGACCCCAACACGGCUGUGUUUCCGGACUUCAACUCCAAUGCCAUCCUGCAGAUGUCUAAAUCGGGUUUAGCCCUAAGAAACAUUGCCACUUGUUGUUUUGUUGCUUUUACCCAGUCCAUCCACUAUGACUUCCUGGUCGGGCAAGAAACGUUCCUUUAUCACAGCCAGGAUGCCUGUCUUUCUUCCAUGACAUGUUCACACUUUACAUAUUUUAGUAUUUACAGCACAUGCAGGUUAACUGAUUAAUUGCUAAAGGUCGUGUAUUGAAUAGGAUGUGGGACACAACUAGAAAUAUUGUUGUUUACAGUCCAAUUCCUUAAAGCACACUGCUUGUAGGGCAAUGCCUGGGUCAAAGGGAGCCAAAAGUGGAUAGGGUGUCUGUCCUCCAAAAUGAUUCAUAUAAAGCCAAUUUGUUAUUAAAAUCAGCCUAAUACACAUGGGAUGUGGAAGACAAACUAU